Molecule: long non-coding RNA, 238 nt
Filed under: Elaeis guineensis (African oil palm)
Lineage: Eukaryota; Viridiplantae; Streptophyta; Magnoliopsida; Arecales; Arecaceae
Description: long non-coding RNA (EGUI_LNC051477)
Source: RNAcentral
UGGUGUCAUCGGCUAUUCACAACGAGGCUAAUGAGAUUGAUUGUACAUUCCCUUGGUCCCUAUUCAUUCAGAUCCUUACUGUGUAUGUUGGCUAUAGUAGGUUCAAAUUCGCUGUUAGAGUAGGAUGCACCUAGAUGGAAUCUAUCGAUUUUGAUAGAAAAGGAGUAGUCCUAUAUGAUUAGCAAGACUGAGUUCAGAAAUUCUUCAACCGGAGCAAGUGUGAAUAUUGAAAAAGAGU